Long non-coding RNA from Oncorhynchus tshawytscha (Chinook salmon), 1313 nucleotides. The record is from Ensembl. Lineage: Eukaryota; Metazoa; Chordata; Actinopteri; Salmoniformes; Salmonidae.
UUGGACUCUGGAGCAGUGGAAACGCAUUCUCUGGAGUGAUGAAUCACUCUUCAUCAUCUGGUAGUCUGACACAUGAAUCUGGGUUUGGUGGAUGCAAGGAGAAUGCUACCUGCCCCAAUGCAUAGUGCCAACUGUAACGUUUGGUGGAAGAGGAAUAAUGGUCUAGGGCUGUUUUUCAUGAUUUGGGCUAGGCCACUUAGUUCCAGUGAAGAAUGACAAUGCCCCUGUCCACAAAGCGAGGUUGAUACUGAAAUAGUUUGUUGAGAUCGGUAUGGAAGAACUUGACUGACCUGCACAGAGCCCUGACUAAAAACCCAUCGAACACCUUUGGGAUGAAUUGGAACACCUACUGCAAGCCUGUCCUAAUCUCCUAAUAUCAGUGUCCGACCUCACCAAUGCUCUUGUGGCUGAAUGGAAUCAAGUCCUGGCAGCAAUGUUCCAACAUCUAGUGGAUAGCAUUCCCAGAAGAGUGGAGGCUGUUAUAUCAGCAAAGAGUGACCAAUUCCAUAGUAAUGCCCAUGAUUUUGGAAUGAGAUGUUUGACGAGCAGGUGUUCACAUUCUUUUUGGUCAUGUAGUGUAUGUAUGACUAAAACCAUACAGAGACAGUGUAGAAACGAUAAUGGACCUACAGUACCUUCAUGCAGUUUCUUGACUGUGUCCAACUCGUUAAUAAUCAUCAAAAUUAAAGAUAGACAGCCAGGGAGUAUAUGCAAUUCAAAAAAUGAUGGAGAGAGAACUAUUUUAGGCCAAUUUCUGAUGGCGAGGAAAUAUAAGACAUUUUAGUGCGCCCUCCGGACAUCGUCGAAGACCGAGUGCGCGAAUGCGAUCCGCAGGGGGAAAAUGAGUUUGACACCCUGAGUUAGAAAGACAAGAGUUUGUGAGCCUGUCUCCCAGACUCCCAGGACCAGAGAAAGAGUAACUGUGAUGGAGUUUUCUACAAUGAUCAUAUUCAUUUUAACGGAAUCAUAGUUUCACUGUCAGCUGGGUAUACCUACUGAUUAAAAAACGGAUACAGCAAAUUCGAGAACCUAACAUCGACAAUAACCAGUAGAUGUCACUAAUACAUCAUGUCAAAGCCAGAAUUACCCAAUUUCAUCCCAGAGCCAGUAUGUUCGCAGUUUCAACUACACACAUUGUCAUUAACUGUAACAUUUAUGUCUUCAAUGUCUAUAAAACGAGGAAUUAAUCAAAAGUCAAUUCAAAUAUCGACCAUGUGUAGCUAAAGUCACAUCACUGUUGUAAAAAAUGUAACUCCAAAGGUGGCUGUUUUACAAUUAACUAAGGAUGUAUUCAUUAUCUACAAUUAUUCAGG